CUGCAGCCAAUUAAGCCAUCCGGCCUCCUCUCCCCAUGGGCACCCAGAGUGCCAUUGCUGCAAACAGCAGCCUCCUCAGUAGUGUACGCAGCCUAUUGCUUAUAUGGGUCACCCUAAAGGACCUUGGAGAUAGCC
This is a small nucleolar RNA of Loxodonta africana (African savanna elephant), 135 nucleotides long. Its record names the gene SNORA70. It matches the Rfam family "Small nucleolar RNA SNORA70". From Rfam's summary of the family: snoRNA U70 seems to be exclusive to mammals and is a member of the H/ACA class of snoRNA which contain H (ANANNA) and ACA box motifs. H/ACA box snoRNAs are involved in the conversion of uridines to pseudouridines (5-ribosyluracil) a constituent of structural RNAs (transfer, ribosomal, small nuclear, and small nucleolar). NCBI's taxonomy places the organism in Eukaryota, Metazoa, Chordata, Mammalia, Proboscidea, Elephantidae. The record is from Ensembl.